RNAcentral lists this ribosomal RNA (388 nucleotides) under uncultured bacterium. Its description in RNAcentral is "bacterial SSU rRNA". It matches the Rfam family "Bacterial small subunit ribosomal RNA", at positions 29 to 408 of the family's 1533-position model. The record is from RNAcentral.
AAUGAACGCUGGCGGCGCGCCUAAUACAUGCAAGUCGAGCGAGAAGACGUAGCAAUACGUUUGUAAAGCGGCGAACGGGUGAGGAAUACACGGGUAACCUACCCUCGAGUGGGGAAUAACUAGCCGAAAGGUUAGCUAAUACCGCGUACGCUUCUUGGACUUCGGUUCAGGGAGGAAAGCGAUGCCGAGGGUAUCGCGCUCUUGGAUGGGCUCAUGUCCUAUCAGCUUGUUGGGAGGUAACGGCUCACCAAGGCUUCGACGGGUAGCUGGUCUGAGAGGACGAUCAGCCACACUGGCACUGCGACACGGGCCAAACUCCUACGGGAGGCAGCAGUAAGGAAUAUUGCGCAAUGGGCGAAAGCCUGACGCAGCGACGCCGCGUGGGGGA